RNAcentral lists this long non-coding RNA (662 nucleotides) under Triticum aestivum (bread wheat). Its description in RNAcentral is "long non-coding RNA (TAES_LNC016297)". Lineage: Eukaryota; Viridiplantae; Streptophyta; Magnoliopsida; Poales; Poaceae. The record is from RNAcentral.
GCCCACCAAAAUCCACACCACAGCAGUACUAGUACACCGAGCCAAAGAAGAGAAUGUUCUUGGAUCCCCUUCCCUGUCUGCCACAACAUUCCUACUCCCCCACCCUCCUUCCAGUCCUCAUAAACAAACAAACCAACAAACCUUCCUCCUCCUCCUCUUCCUCCUCCUCCGGCGGCACCACUGGUCAUCGACCUCUCUUCCUCAUCUUCUUCUUCCGGGACGGUCUAUUCCUUCGUUGAGUCGGGAUCUUGGGCGGGAGAAUCCAGGAGUAAUUCGCCGGGUGGGUUUAGUUAGGUACCACACUAAUCCAAAGGCCCGCCGGCCCUUCUUUUCCACGUCUCCAGAGGUCGCCGGAAUCUCUCCUCUUCUCCUCACCCAGUGGAUGUGCAAUCUCGUGUCGGCUCUCCGCGUAAUCUGGACGCUCUUCGCCUUCCACAUCGCAGCAACGUCUCGCGGGAUUUUGGGCUAGAUUGAGGUUUUGCGUGCGUGUGCCUGUGUGGGGAAAGUGCUUUCCUUUUCUCUCUUUUUUCCCCUUGGUUCCGCGAGGAUUUGGUUCUGGUGUGUGCGGGGGGCCGGAAUCUCUCUCUGCCUUUGAUCCCAAGCAACCGGCCGCCUCGUUCAUGUAGUGCGGCAUCCAUUGGAACCUGGGACUCCUAACAUGG